CCUACGGGAGGCAGCAGUGGGGAAUUUUGGACAAUGGGGGCAACCCUGAUCCAGCCAUUCCGCGUGAGUGAAGAAGGCCUUCGGGUUGUAAAGCUCUUUCAGCAGGAACGAAACGGUAGGCUUUAAUAAAGUUUGCUAAUGACGGUACCUGAAGAAGAAGCACCGGCUAACUACGUGCCAGCAGCCGCGGUAAUACGUAGGGUGCGAGCGUUAAUCGGAAUUACUGGGCGUAAAGCGUGCGCAGGCGGUUUUGUAAGACAGAUGUGAAAUCCCCGGGCUUAACCUGGGAACUGCGUUUGUGACUGCAAGACUAGAGUGUGGCAGAGGGGGGUAGAAUUCCACGUGUAGCAGUGAAAUGCGUAGAGAUGUGGAGGAAUACCGAUGGCGAAGGCAGCCCCCUGGGUCAACACUGACGCUCAUGCACGAAAGCAUGGGGAGCAAACAGGAUUAGAUACCCUGGUAGUCCACGCCCUAAACGAUGUCAACUGGUUGUUGGGUGGGUAACCACUUAGUAACGAAGCUAACGCGUGAAGUUGACCGCCUGGGGAGUACGGUCGCAAGAUUAAAACUCAAAGGAAUUGACGGGGACCCGCACAAGCGGUGGAUGAUGUGGUUUAAUUCGAUGCAACGCGAAAAACCUUACCUACACUUGACAUGCCAGAAAUCCCGCAGAGAUGUGGGAGUGCCGCAAGGAAUCUGGGCACAGGUGCUGCAUGACUGUCGUCAGCUCGUGUCGUGAGAUGUUGGGUUAAGUCCCGCAACGAGCGCAACCCUUGUCAUUAGUUGCUACAUUUAGUUGGGCACUCUAAUGAGACUGCCGGUGACAAACCGGAGGAAGGUGGGGAUGACGUCAAGUCCUCAUGGCCCUUAUAGGUGGGGCUACACACGUCAUACAAUGGCUGGUACAAAGGGUUGCCAACCCGCGAGGGGGAGCUAAUCCCACAAAGCCAGUCGUAGUCCGGAUCGUAGUCUGCAACUCGACUACGUGAAGUCGGAAUCGCUAGUAAUCGUGGAUCAGAAUGUCACGGUGAAUACGUCCCCGGGUAUUGUACACCCCGCCCGU
Molecule: ribosomal RNA, 1063 nt
Filed under: uncultured bacterium
Lineage: Bacteria
Description: bacterial SSU rRNA
Rfam family: Bacterial small subunit ribosomal RNA
Source: RNAcentral